AUUUUUCCUAGAUUUAUUUUUUCUUUCCUAUUUCUCCUUUCCUCUUGUGCAGAACUAAAAUAAUUUUAGCUUCACUCCUCAGGGGUCUACAAAUCAUUUACACUUUUAAAAAUCUCUUCCUGGUUUGCACAUUUGCAGAAUGAAAGCUAAUUCCCAAUUUGUCUGGUUUUUAAUCAUUCAGUUUUCUUUGCCUAUCUACAUAUUGAUUUGACGUGUAACCUUAGACAAGAAAAUAGUUGUUUUACAACUUCCAGGUACGAAUAGGGGAAUAUAGUCUCCCAUGAAAUGCAUCUGCUCCAUUUUGUCCUCAAGCCUUGACAUCUGGAAUCUCACCAUCAACUUUAUGCACCAGUUUGUCAUGAUUUUUUUUGUAGUACUCUCUGACACCAGAGACUUAGCUACUCUUUAUAAGUGUUUUUUUUUACAUUUUAAAAUAAAGUAUGUAACUUUAAUUACAUUGUAUGUGAGUUAUAUCUGUUAGAGAGGGAGAAGAAAAAUUAAGAACAGCCAGAUUUUUAAGGCAACAUUGCUAGUAGGAAUGGAGUCAAGAAAAUCAUGAGCUAUGUCUUCUUAUGCCUGGUUAAAUAUACUGGAUACCUAUUGCUCAGUUAUUUUUCAUUUUGCAGUUUAUUGUUUUUUUUCUAUAAUUCGCUUACUUUUGCCUAAUGCUUAUUUAUUACUCUAUUUUCCACUACUGUAAAAAAAUCUGAUGUAUACUAACUUUCUAAAGGAAGGAGGUUUAUUUAGUUCCCUGUACUGGAGUGUAAGUCUGGGAUUGUGUGUUUUCAUUGGUUUGCCUCUCCUGAGGAGCUAUGGGGCAGCACAACAGAGAACAGGGAGGAGGAAGAGAUCACAUCUCAAAACACUAAGUCCGGGAGACUCAAACCUUCUGCUUGGUCUUUGGUAGUUUUAGGUCAAAAGGGCUUAAGAGUCCCAUUAGAACUACUUUAAAGUCCUCUGAAGGAAAUGACCUUCAACUGUGUCCCUCCUCUCAACAGUUCACACUACCUCCCAAUGUGACCAUGCUGAUAAGAGCUUCUAAUGUAAACUCUUGGAGCAUAAAACACAUCCAAAUCUAUAGUAUCCACUAUCAAUACAAGGAAAAAGAUGAAGGAAAGGCCUGACUUUUGUAUCUAGUCACAGACACUGCCAGAAGGCAGCAACACAACAUGAAGCUCAUUCCAACUGAAACACAACAAAGGAGAUACCACAGGUGUGCUGGUAUACAACGAAAAUUCUAACUCUCAAGUGGCUCAGGCAGGAGAAUCAAAAGUUCAACACCAUCCUGACCCUGUGUCAAAAAUGCUGUUUUCCUUCUGGAAAUAAAAUUCUGUAUAUACAAGCAGAGCCAUUUUUAAAAAUCAGAUUUAUUGCUCUUACAUUUUACUGCCUUGAGUCUCAAUAAAAAAAAAUUGUAUUUGCUUUCUUUAUAUACAAAUAUAAUUUAAAUAAAUAAUCUCAGAAAAUAAAUCAACUCAGCAUAUCCCAGAGUUUUAAG
Molecule: long non-coding RNA, 1498 nt
Filed under: Cricetulus griseus (Chinese hamster)
Lineage: Eukaryota; Metazoa; Chordata; Mammalia; Rodentia; Cricetidae
Description: lncRNA (ENSCGRG00015032436.1)
Source: RNAcentral